Molecule: ribosomal RNA, 497 nt
Filed under: uncultured bacterium
Lineage: Bacteria
Description: partial 16S ribosomal RNA
Rfam family: Bacterial small subunit ribosomal RNA
Source: RNAcentral
GACGAACGCUGGCGGCGUGCCUAAUACAUGCAAGUUGAGCGCUGAAGGUUGGUACUUGUACCAACUGGAUGAGCAGCGAACGGGUGAGUAACGCGUGGGGAAUCUGCCUUUGAGCGGGGGACAACAUUUGGAAACGAAUGCUAAUACCGCAUAAAAACUUUAAACACAAGUUUUAAGUUUGAAAGAUGCAAUUGCAUCACUCAAAGAUGAUCCCGCGUUGUAUUAGCUAGUUGGUGAGGUAAAGGCUCACCAAGGCGAUGAGACAUAGCCGACCUGAGAGGGUGGUCGGGCACAAUUGGACUGAGACAAGGCCCAAACUCCUACGGGAGGCAGCAGGAGGGAAUCUUUGGACAAGGACGAAAGUCUGACCGAGCAACGCCGCGUGAGUGAAGAAGGGUGUCGGAUCGUAAAACUCCGUUGGUAGGGAGGAACGUUGGUGAGAGUGGAAAGCUCAUCAAGUGACGGUAACUACACAGAAAGGGACGGCUAACUACGUG